GUGAUGUGGCGCAGUGGGUAGUACGACUGCCUACCGCGCAGAAGAUUCCGGGUACAAUUCCCGGUGGGUCACU
Molecule: non-coding RNA, 73 nt
Organism: Phthorimaea operculella (potato tuberworm)
Lineage: Eukaryota; Metazoa; Arthropoda; Insecta; Lepidoptera; Gelechiidae
Source: the annotation of a GenBank genome assembly